Molecule: ribosomal RNA, 497 nt
Filed under: uncultured bacterium
Lineage: Bacteria
Description: partial 16S ribosomal RNA
Rfam family: Bacterial small subunit ribosomal RNA
Source: RNAcentral
UAUGCACGCUGGCGGCGUGCCUAAUACAUGCAAGUCGAGCGAACGGACGAGAAGCUUGCUUCUCUGAUGUUAGCGGCGGACGGGUGAGUAACACGUGGAUAACCUACCUAUAAGACUGGGAUAACUUCGGGAAACCGGAGCUAAUACCGGAUAAUAUUUUGAACCGCAUGGUUCAAAAGUGAAAGACGGUCUUGCUGUCACUUAUAGAUGGAUCCGCGCUGCAUUAGCUAGUUGGUAAGGUAACGGCUUACCAAGGCAACGAUGCAUAGCCGACCUGAGAGGGUGAUCAGCCACACUGGAACUGAGACACGGUCCAGACUCCUACGGGAGGCAGCAGUAGGGAAUCUUCCGCAAUGGGCGAAAGCCUGACGGAGCAACGCCGCGUGAGUGAUGAAGGUCUUCGGAUCGUAAAACUCUGUUAUUAGGGAAGAACAUAUGUGUAAGUAACUGUGCACAUCUUGACGGUACCUAAUCAGAAAGCCACGGCUAACUACGUG